This is a long non-coding RNA of Vitis vinifera (wine grape), 852 nucleotides long. RefSeq lists it as uncharacterized. The transcript has 2 exons. The record is from RefSeq and is a predicted model, not a curated record. Lineage: Eukaryota; Viridiplantae; Streptophyta; Magnoliopsida; Vitales; Vitaceae.
GUGGGCUCGGCCCAGAGGGCUGUGGGCUUGGGUUCAAUAUUGAGCCCAAGAAGGUAUUCAACAGAACGAAGAGAGUCCAGCAAGGGCACUCACACGCAAAUUGAACUACAAUUUGGCCCAAAAUGCUAGGCUUCUUGGGCUAUGAGGCCUGGCUUUUUUGGGCCAUAAAGAUGGUUGGCCCAAAUUUAUAGAAUUGGUUGGGCUAGAAUGACCCUAACCCUAUUAGGAUCACCUGCAACACGCGUGAAAAUGCAACGGAGACAACGAGCGCGGGAGUCAAACUGCCAUCCAGAGAAACAACAACCCAUCAAUAAAUUAUCGAGUGAUUGGGAAGGAAAAAAAAAAACCAGAUCUGCAUAUCUUAUUCCCUGAAAACCCAGCAAUUUGAUCAUCUGAAAUUUUUUGAUAAUAUAUAUAUAAUGGCAAAACUUGAACCACUUGAUCAGGAACCAAGCAAGAAGAAGAAGGCCAACCAUGGUUCCAACAACUUGUUUGUUUUCAUUGAUUAUCUCUUCCUCCUCAUAUUCCUCGGCUUCCUCACUUUCGUACUCUUCAAGAUCAUUUCUGCCAUUUGAAUGAGGGCAUUCUCUAUGGCUUAUCUAUGUCUCCAUGUUGGAUUCAGCUCUGACCAUUAAGGGCUUUGCUGUAAUUGGCUUGGUCAGAUUCACAUUCCAUAAUUAUAGAUUCUUUGUCAUAUUCCUUUAUAUUCAGGAAUCCCUUAAUUUUAAGGUCUCAAGAACUAGAUACUUAUUGUUUACCCUCUCAUAUUAUGAGUUCAUAUCCUAUCUUAUAAGUGGAUAAUCAUCCUUUUAUCACGUCAAGAAAAUAUACAAAAUCUAAUUCAAAGCUAAA